This 518-nucleotide ribosomal RNA is filed under the name Micropanope pusilla. Its description in RNAcentral is "partial 16S large subunit ribosomal RNA". It matches the Rfam family "Bacterial large subunit ribosomal RNA", at positions 1832 to 2597 of the family's 2925-position model. The record is from RNAcentral. Lineage: Eukaryota; Metazoa; Arthropoda; Malacostraca; Decapoda; Xanthidae.
GUCUAUUUGAUGAUAUAAAUAGUCUGGCCUGCUCACUGAUAAUUUUAUUUAAGAGCCGCGGUAUUUUGACCGUGCAAAGGUAGCAUAAUCAUUAGGGGCUUAAUUGGAACCUGGAAUGAAGGGUCGGACAAAGAAAAAGCUGUCUUUAUAGUAAAAAUUGAAGUUUACCUUUAAGUGAAAAGGCUUAAAUAUAUCAAAGGGACGAUAAGACCCUAUAAAGCUUUAUAAAUUAUUUAAGUUUGGUUAAUUUAAAUUAUAAAAACUAAUUUUAGUUGUUUUAUUUUAUUGGGGUGAUAUGAGCAUAAUUAUUGUAACUGCUUAAAUUGAAUACAAAAAUAAAUGAUUAAUAAAUACAUGAUCCUUUUUAAAGAUUAUAAGAUUAAGUUACUUUAGGGAUAACAGCGUUAUUUCUUUUGAGAGUUCAUAUCGAAAAAGAAGAUUGCGACCUCGAUGUUGAAUUAAAAUAUCUAUAUGAUGCAGCCAUUAUAAGAGAAGGUCUGUUCGACCUUUAAAUUUUU